Molecule: ribosomal RNA, 253 nt
Filed under: uncultured bacterium
Lineage: Bacteria
Description: partial 16S ribosomal RNA
Rfam family: Bacterial small subunit ribosomal RNA
Source: RNAcentral
UACGAGGGGGGCGAGCGUUGUUCGGAAUUAUUGGGCGUAAAGGGUGCGUAGGCGGCCUGACAAGUCUGAUGUGAAAUCCCUGGGCUCAACCCAGGGCCUGCAUCGGAAACUGUCGGGCUUGAGUAUGGGAGAGGUGAGUGGAAUUUCCGGUGUAGCGGUGAAAUGCGUAGAUAUGCGGAGGAACACCGAUGGCGAAGGCAAUCCCCUGGGCCUGCACUGACGCUCAUGCACGAAAGCGUGGGGAGCAAACAGG